RNAcentral lists this ribosomal RNA (505 nucleotides) under uncultured bacterium. RNAcentral describes it as "bacterial SSU rRNA". It matches the Rfam family "Bacterial small subunit ribosomal RNA", at positions 36 to 524 of the family's 1533-position model. The record is from RNAcentral.
AAAUGCCUGGCGGCAGCCUACACAUGCAAGUCGAGCGGCAGCGGGAAAGUAGCUUGCUACUUUUGCCGGCGAGCGGCGGACGGGUGAGUAAUGCCUGGGAAAUUGCCCAGUCGAGGGGGAUAACAGUUGGAAACGACUGCUAAUACCGCAUACGCCCUACGGGGGAAAGCAGGGGACCUUCGGGCCUUGCGCGAUUGGAUAUGCCCAGGUGGGAUUAGCUAGUUGGUGAGGUAAUGGCUCACCAAGGCGACGAUCCCUAGCUGGUCUGAGAGGAUGAUCAGCCACACUGGAACUGAGACACGGUCCAGACUCCUACGGGAGGCAGCAGUGGGGAAUAUUGCACAAUGGGGGAAACCCUGAUGCAGCCAUGCCGCGUGUGUGAAGAAGGCCUUCGGGUUGUAAAGCACUUUCAGCGAGGAGGAAAGGUCAGUAGCUAAUAUCUGCUGGCUGUGACGUUACUCGCAGAAGAAGCACCGGCUAACUCCGUGCCAGCAGCCGCGGUAAU